GAUGAAGAACGCAGUGAAAUGCGAUAAGUAGUGUGAAUUGCAGAAUUCAGUGAAUCAUCGAAUCUUUGAACGCACAUUGCGCCCCUUGGUAUUCCAUGGCAUGCCUGUUCGAGCGUCAUUUGUACCUUCAAGCUUUGCUUGGUGUUGGGUGUUUGUCUCGCCUUUGCGUGUAGACUCGCCUUAAAAUAAUUGGCAGCCGGCGUAUUGAUUUCGGAGCGCAGUACAUCUCGCGCUUUGCACUCAUAACGACAGCGUCCAAAAGUACAUUUUACACUCUUGACCUCGGAUCAGGUAGGGAUACCCGCUGAACUUAAGCAUAUCAAUAAGCGGAGGA
This 334-nucleotide unclassified non-coding RNA is filed under the name soil metagenome. RNAcentral's name for it is "partial contains 5.8S ribosomal RNA, internal transcribed spacer 2, and large subunit ribosomal RNA". The stretch from base 1 to 118 matches the Rfam family "5.8S ribosomal RNA", at positions 35 to 154 of the family's 154-position model. The record is from RNAcentral.